Molecule: ribosomal RNA, 209 nt
Filed under: Vibrio parahaemolyticus
Lineage: Bacteria; Pseudomonadati; Pseudomonadota; Gammaproteobacteria; Vibrionales; Vibrionaceae
Description: partial 16S ribosomal RNA
Source: RNAcentral
AAAUUGAAGAGUUUGAUCAUGGCUCAGAUUGAACGCUGGCGGCAGGCCUAACACAUGCAAGUCGAGCGGAAACGAGUUAUCKGAACCUUCGGGGRACGAUAACGGCGUCGAGCGGCGGACGGGUGAGUAAUGCCUAGGAAAUUGCCCUGAUGUGGGGGAUAACCAUUGGAAACGAUGGCUAAUACCGCAUGAUGCCUACGGGCCAAAGA